Molecule: ribosomal RNA, 245 nt
Filed under: uncultured Microbacteriaceae bacterium
Lineage: Bacteria; Bacillati; Actinomycetota; Actinomycetes; Micrococcales; Microbacteriaceae
Description: partial 16S ribosomal RNA
Rfam family: Bacterial small subunit ribosomal RNA
Source: RNAcentral
CAUGCCGUAAACGUUGGGAACUAGAUGUAGGGACCAUUCCACGGUUUCUGUGUCGCAGCUAACGCAUUAAGUUCCCCGCCUGGGGAGUACGGCCGCAAGGCUAAAACUCAAAGGAAUUGACGGGGGCCCGCACAAGCGGCGGAGCAUGCGGAUUAAUUCGAUGCAACGCGAAGAACCUUACCAAGGCUUGACAUAUACCGGAAAAGUUCAGAAAUGUUCUCCCCGCAAGGUCGGUAUACAGGUGG